GAGCAAGCUCCUUGGCAAUGAUGGCAAGGAAAAAAAACCUUUCUCCUUUUAUGAUUAUUGAGCCAUCCUGCGAUUUGAAAACUGCAGUAGACCACAUUGUGAUUAAAUUGCAAUUGCGAUUAAUUGUGCCGGUCAUGCAUGAUUUCUCAGUUGUUUCUAACAAAAAUAUGCAAAGCAUGUAUUUUCACUUAAGUAUCCUGAAUAAAUCAACAUCAAAUCGCAAAUCUAAUCAAAACUUAUGAAUUUAAAUAGAACCAUGAAAUCAUUAUCACUAUCAUUAUCAGACACAGACGGUGAGACAAAGUGGUGAUAUUUGAACAGCCUGCACUAGUUAAUAGACUGGGAGAUUCAUACCUACUGCCCACAGGUUUGCAGCCCAAAAACACCCCGCACACAGCAAAAUGAGAAGAGAUACAGGUAGAGGGCAGAGUCUCAGCAGAUAAGACACCAACACACUUGUCGUGAUUCAUAACUUUUGUAUGAGUUUGUACAUCUUUUUUUUUUUUUUUUUUUUAAAGUAAAAUGCUAUACUUGAACUUACCUUGAUUUUUUUUGUUGAUUUGUUUUCCGUUUUGGCGAAAGUUCUCCUCUCCUUCUCUUUUUGAUCUCUGAAUUUCAUAAACUGAGCUAAGUUUGAUGCAGCACAUCCAUCACUCACUGACACAGAGAGAGAAACAGAGAGAGGGAGAGAGAGACUGAUCAAAGGGUCUGUUUAUGGGUAUAGGUGUUGUCACUAUGUUGGCUGACAGAAAAAAUCACAUUACUGUGCCUAAAUUAAAUGAAUUAAAAACAGCUCAAAAAAUGAUGUUAUCGUUUGGCACAAGAUGAGAGGGGCCAGGAACAAGGUCGGUUGAAGCGACCUCCAUGAUAAAUGUGACACCCCUGCCGCAGGAGAUGCAAAAUUUUUGCUUUGCCUCCAACUUAAACCCCCAGAAAGGGCAAAACAUUUUGUUCUCAAAAAGGCAAAUGGGCUGAAGUUACCAUAGUACAUUGUCUCUUGCUAACCAUUGUCUCAUGCUACCCAUCCUUUCUUUACAUAAAAGAUCGAGAGGGACCCAGCUGCAGACAGAUGGCGGACAAAGGCGCCGCCAUAUAUCCAAUCCAUACCGGAAGUCUAACUGGAAGUUGGUCUGUGUAUUAUUCGCAGAAGAGGAAGAAGACGACGGAGAAGACGAAGAGAAGAAUGCGAACAAUACAUGCAUGACUAGAGAAAGAAAAGAAAGAAAGAACGAUGCACCCCUCUAUUUUGAGUGACGAAGCCAGUCUGGGGCACACAACCUUUUCACCAUCCGAGUUUGGGUGUCCUCUCUGCCCCAAAUUUAAAACCAAAAAUGAGAGCGCGAUCCAGAGGCACCUGAAAAAACAUACGGAAAAUGCAGUUCAUUUCCAUGACUAUCAUGGAGGCAGAUGAGUACCACCUGCUGUCACAGCAUACAGCUGCAGCUGUGCAAAGGGUUAACCAUAUGAUAGCUUUAUUACCGUAUAUCAAACAGCACAUUACCUCCAACUUGGCCUUCCAACAGUCCCACCUGCACCAGCGAACCACAGAGGUAGCAUCGGCCAAGGACCCAGGGAGUCCAUGCAGAGGCCGUGACUGACCUUAUAGUUAAGAAGGCCAAAUCUUUGGGACCCCUACCAGAUUCACACAAAUGACCUCUGGAGCAAAACUGAGCCACAUCCACCCUUGCCCAUUACUGUGCAACAUCCUAGAGGGGAUGUCCACCCUAGAGAUGGUCCCCUCACAGUUUGGCCUUGUACCUUAUGCUGGAGUCUAACCCGGGCCGCUGCGGCAACAGCCUUGUACAUGGAGCGCCUGCUCUACCACUAAGCCACAGACACCCCGAUACAGUCGUCUCUUGAAAAACUAUUGGCGCUGCACUGGACUCUCAACACCAAAAGAUAAUGACCAUUGAAAACACACUCAGCAUCCACAGUGAUGAGCUAGCUGAACUAACAGCAAGAGUUGAUCGGCUGGAGAAAGCAAAUGCUGCGCUAGCAUCCAAAGCGGAGGACCUUGAGAAUCGCUCCAGGCAGCAAAACCUAAGAAUCGCCGGCAUACCUGAAGCUCACCGUUGGAAUUCAUCUCACAGCUUCUUCAUACAGUUAUUGGAAAUUACAUUUUCCCUGAACCACCGGAGCUGGACAGAGUGCAUCGUAUGCUAGCUCCAAAGCCAGCAGCGGGACAAUGUCCACGAGCCAUCCUCGUCAGGUUCCGUUAUCAGGACAUGGAACAUGUGCUUCGCUGUGCAAGAUCGCAGAGAGAAGGCAUACAGUUCAACGGCAACAGGAUCCUGUUCUUCCCCAGUAUGAGCGUGUGGCUGGCCAAGUCUGGCCAAGCAACGAGCGACAUUUAAGGACAUCAAGGCUAAACUCUACGCCGCUGGAAUCACAUUCUUCCUACACUACCCGGCCCGCCUGUGCAUCACCGUCAACGGCGAAAAACAUCUGUUUGACACUCCUGCAGCGGCAGAAGCAUUUUAUGAACAGAUAAAAGGGAACUUUCCAGCCAAUAAUGAUGAAGAACAGGACUAACUGAUGUCGACCACAUCUGAACAGUUUGAGAUAUGUUAACACUCUAACACUAUAGGAUGGGGGCUGUAAGAUGCAGAUCUCAGAUAAUUAAUAGAUUGCCUGAUCCGUGUUCUGGACUACAGAAACUUAAAGGCAACUUAUGUGUCAAAUAUCCUUUAUCUGUUUAGGUGAACUUGGGUAAGCACACAGUGAAGUUUAACUUGAUAUAUUGUUUUAACAUAGAUGCACUUGCAAUGUAAGGUUUCAAUAAUGGGAGCAGGUUCCUGCUGCUUCCUAUGUUAGAAUAAUAUGAAAAAUAGAUUGUACAGCAUUGUUAUGCUGUGUUCCCACCAAACGCGAAUUCGCAAAUUCGCGCGUCGAGAUUACAUACAAAGUCAAUGCAAAGACGCAAUUAGACGUGAUUAGACGUGAAUUCGCACUGGGCGGCGCGAUGGAUGUGUAGGCACGGCGCGAUAGACGCAAAAUUUUCGUCCAUUGCCUCAUCACUCGAGUUGAAAAUAUUGAACUUUUGACAUGAAUUCGCGUGGCGCUGUGCCGCGAAAGCCAAUCAACAUUGAGACUGUCCCGACGUCACUGACGUCCUGACGUUCUCGCGCCCUGCCUGGUGCCAGUCAAAUAUGGAGGAGAAAUUAAUAGUUGCUGUGUGCGGACACCCCGAGCUGUACGACACCACAGUGGUGUUGUACAGGGACAGGAACAGGAAGGAGCAGGCCUGGGUAAAGGUGAGCGAGGAGGCUGGAUUACCUGGUAAGUUCUGUAAAUAUCUGUUGCUUGUUUGCAGCUAUCAGUUGUACUGUACUAUGAUCGUUAGCACUAGCAUAGCUCUACUUAGCAUAGCUGGCUUUCCCGGCAUAACGUUAAAGUUACUUGUCUGGCUUAUUAGAUUGACCAGUUAAUUUACGUGUGUUUUUUUUGUGGAUGUUUGCCGGAGAAAGUGAAAGAGCCUCAGGGACACCUAUUUAAAAGAAAGAAAGAAGGAGACAGAGAAAAAGAGUGGGGCAGCAGCAGGGACAGGGAAGAAAUGGAGAUACUUUGCGGUCCUAUCUUUCCUCGACCCCUUUGUUGCACCGAGGGAGACGAGCAGGAACAUGGGUCGGGUUCAGGAAGAUAGGACCACAGACUAUGAGACAGAGUGGACAGAGUCUGGAGCAGGGCCAGUCGAGCUGAAGAACGAGGGAGAGACAGCAGCAGGCCCAUCAGGGAUUGAUAUCGGAGGUUUGUUGACAAAUGAAGACGCACACAUGUACAGUAUUGAAAAUGUUUUUUUGUAUAAAUGGAUAACUGGCUUGUAUAGAUGUCUCAGUAACAUUACAGACAGAGAUUGCUUUUCACAGCCUGCACUAAAAAACUGACAAAGAAAAUGUGAAAAUACCCCAAACUAAUAUGUACUCUCACCUACACCAAACCUGCAAUUCAAAACAUGUGAAGAAUGGAUAGAACAACCCAACUGAAGAACACAAAAACACUAGAAGUUACUGAAUUGGUUAAAUUUAUUUAUGACUGAAACCGAUUUCUUUGAAUACUCAAUAUCGAGAAUGAACAAUACAUAAGGUACAUUUUAGUAAGUCUGGGAUCAUUUCUUUCUGUACAUUAAGGGCUCACUGCGUUACAGGGUUAGAUAUUACUAUGAGUGGAACUGUAUGAUGUAUUAAUGGGUGCAUUAAAUGUUGUAUGUGCUGUAAUUGACACUGAAAGUUAGAAUGACGUAGACAAUUAAUAUACUGUAUGUAUCAAACAAAAAACUGUACUGUGACACUAUGACAAGUACUGUAUUGAUUACCUUUCAUGUUUGACUCAUGUCUUUUUGUCUGUUUCCUGAUUUCAAUAGUUUAACAAAUAUUAACUUGGAUAUUGUCAUCUUUUGCGUUGAUUGGAUGCAGUAGUUUCACAAAAUAUGAUGUGUCCAUUUUAUACAGUGACGAGGAGGACAAGGAAGAGAGCCAGGGGGGUGGAUGAGCAAGACAGGCAGGCACAGAUCGAGCGGCUUCUCCUUGAAUCCCUCUGUUGGACUCCUCCUGCCCCUCAACCUCCCUCCUCAGAGGAUGAAUUAUUCCUCAAAAGCCUGGUUCCUUCCCUUCAGAGAUUGUCGCCCCAAAGGAAGGAAUACGUUAAAUUCCAAAUUCAUAAACUUAUUUAUGAAUCUAGCACUGUUUUGCUUAAUUUGGAGCCUGUUGAAUAGCUUAUUAGCUACUGGGGCAACAAUCUUUGCAGGGAACAAACCAGGCAUUUGAGGAAUAAUCCCAGGUAACCCUGAGGCUCUUCCAUCGAACGACUGUAUAUAUUGUACAUAUGUUCCACACAUUUUCUGUGUCUUGUUUUUUUUUAUUACUAAUAUUAUUAUUUUUUCCAUAAUCGAGCAGCCCUAAUCUGUUCUAUCUAUAAAAGGAGACAAAAUAAAUGUAUAUAGGAAGAGUUAACAGACUGUUGUUGUUAUUCACCUCAUCAGUAAAACAAUAUAUACAUUUAAAUACAUAAAAUAGUAAGUACAUGUGACAUGUUCCAAAUUGCUGUUGAUUAUUUACUUACUGUGUACAGGUGGUUUUGUUUGGGUUGCUGCUAAAUGUGGUCAUAUUGAGUCACAACAUCUGCACUGGAUAUAGUGCAUAAUGUAUACUGUAGGAUGAUUGAAUUGUGCAGGAUACACAGCUACUACAGAAAAAGUACCAGUUCUAGAAAUCAAAUGGACAUGUUGUCCUUCUCUAAAUUAAAAUUUUAAAUGGUAUAUUUGUGUCUACAAUAAUACCAGAUAGCACCAUUGAUAUGAUAGUCAGCAUAUCAGUGAUGUCUGCUUUUAUUUUGGUGUUUAUUAUAUUAUGUUGCAGUGUAGACAUGCCAAAUUAAAGCUUUAUUAUCUCACAAUAUGAUAUCAAUCGAUAACCUAGCAUGCGUGAACAGGCAUGUUAUUUUUGGUGCUUAUAUACAUUCAUUCAUUUCAUUUUUAUUUCAGUUUUAAUGUCAAUAUAGUAAUACUGCAGGAUGUUUGCUCAAUAGUAGGUGUGUGGCUCUUAAUAGAGCCGUUGUAGGAGUGCUUGUGUACUAAACGUUGGCUUGCCACGGGACUGUUCCCUCUGUGGAGAAGUACGCUGUGAAGGUCUCCUGAACCCUGAUGGCCUCUCUUGCAAAGUUGUUUGCUGCCCAGACCUGGCAGCGGCUCCACGUCACCAACUGGGAUGCUGCCCCUCAUCGCAGGCGUAGGGGCCAUCUUCCGCAGGAAGUUGUGGAUACCACCAGCCGUGCCCGGGACAGACGGUAAUUGAACAGCCGACGGUCUCGAGGAAGGGUGCGCCCAGGGAAUGGCCUCAUGAGGUUUCUCCGGAGUGGAAAAGCCUCAUCAGCCACAAAGACGUGUGGCUGGGGUCCUCUGUGGUCAGCUCCAGGUAAGAGAUGGUCAGCAGGCAGAUGGAGGGUGCCAGAGCGAAGUGCCUGACCAAAGGCUGAUUUGGCCAGGAUGCCACCAUCGCUCAUCCUCCCAUAGACCCCGACAUCAGUCACUCGGAAGCAAUACCUGGCAUCCACGACAGCCAAGAGGACAAUGGAAAAUGACCCCUUGUCAUUAAAAAACUGGGAUCCCGUGUUGUCAUGGGCUUGAAUCCUCACGUGCUUCCCUCACUGGAGACGCCAACACAGAAGCUGUUGGUGAUGUUUCUGUAGGAGUCACCAGUGACCAGGUAUCUGCACCAUAGAAAACAUUUAAUUUAGCUGAGUUGUAGCGAAUGCAGUGAUACUGUAAGUGGCAGUUUAGAUCCCCAUUAGCUACUGUACAUAAAUCAUUUCACAAUACUUCAAUACAGAAAAUACACAAACACAUUACAUUCAUACUCACAAGACUCAAAAUACAAAACACAACCAAAAAGACACACAACAAAUAAUAUUCUAUUUAUAUGGCUACACAUAUGAAAAUGCUGAGGUUGCACUAUUGCUUUAUUGCAGUGGAUAAAACAAGAGCUAAUUUUCUAUUUAAAAACACGACAAGCAGGUCAAGAGCUAGAAUUUAUUCAUACAUUAUAAAUAAAG
This is a long non-coding RNA of Epinephelus fuscoguttatus (brown-marbled grouper), 6546 nucleotides long. RefSeq lists it as uncharacterized. The record is from RefSeq and is a predicted model, not a curated record. NCBI's taxonomy places the organism in Eukaryota, Metazoa, Chordata, Actinopteri, Perciformes, Serranidae. The transcript is spliced from 5 exons.